ACAAAGUCUUGGAGUCUGAAAUCUUGUUUCUCCACAGAACAGAGACAGCAUGAACAACUACAGAGCAAGCUUCCCCUCCAUCUUCUGCCUCUGCUUCUGCUUUGACUAAAUUACUCCUGUGAGUCACAGGGGAGUUCAUUUUCCUCUCCUAUUCAUCUCCUGAAGCC
Molecule: small RNA, 167 nt
Filed under: Crocodylus porosus (Australian saltwater crocodile)
Lineage: Eukaryota; Metazoa; Chordata; Crocodylia; Crocodylidae
Description: TUC338 (ENSCPRG00005009237.1)
Source: RNAcentral